UCUCCCCCUGCGCUCCCUUCUUCCACAUGGAGGACGACGUGGUCUUGCAUACGCUGCAGUUGAAUUCAGAGCAUGCCGUUUAUGGACAUCGACAAAGGGUUCAGAAAAUGCCAUCCACUGACAUCUAUGUAUUAGAAAUUGAAAUUGAGACAUUUUACAGCCUAAGAUGUCAAGCGCACAUUCUUCAGCCGUUGGAUAAUAUCGUUGCAAAUCCUGUGGACUCUGAAGAGUAUACCGAUUAGAGAAUGCGGAGAAAAUCGAAUAGCUGGCUGUUAUUCAAUUCAAAACUGUUGGAAAACAGUUUUGGCUCUGAGGACCCAGCAGUUGACAAACAGCAGGCCUGGGACAAGAGCAGUAUGAGAAGUCAGAUCGCCUCUUUUAAUGUCACUAGUCAGUACAGGCCUCGCCAGACAAGUCUCUCCUCAGCCUCACUUGGAAGAACAUGCCCUCUCUUCAUGAUCCUGGGUUUCCUAGACUUAGUAUCCUUGGAAAGGUCUUGAUGAAUAUAUUGUGGUGGGAAGCAGUGGGGAGAAACAAACGCCUAUUAUGUCACAAAACCACAUUUAGUGCUUAUAACAACCUUGGAAUGAGAUAUUAUCAGAUUUUACUGUUAAUUGGUGAUCAACGGAGGCACUUCUAUGUGGACUGGCUGUCAUUAUAGCUGCUGCCCUUGGCACCAAUUUCGAGGAGGGCUUUGGAACAGCCCUCUGGGGUGUGGGUUGUGGCUCAGUCACCUCCCCUCUAAAUCUCAGUUUCCUUAACAGUAAAAAUAAGUUUCCAGGACUGUUAUGGGGAUUAGGGCCAACUGUAAAAGUGGCUGAGGAGACUAGGUAAAGAGUGUUGUCUCACUUUAGAACAAUGCUGAAGGUGUUUAGAGCCUGCCAUCCUAAAAUAUGCCACUUUGGCAUACUGAUUCUUCUGAGCCAGAGGCAAUGGAGCAAAAACAGAUGCAGGGAAGGCUGUCUGACCACCCUCUUUCUGUUUGAAGCGGAACAUAAAAGUUCCCUUGUGAAAGGUGCCCUUUCUGUACCAGGAAGAGGAGAAUAUUAUUGCCAGAGGCAGAGUUGCCACUGAGAAGAAUCUACAAACAAAACCUUACAAAAAUUUGUAACCCAUAUUUUCCAUUAACUUUCUACAUACGGUUCUUCGUCACUUUCCCACAAUUUGCCAGCCUUAGCCCAAGCCCCUUUGUCUUGUCACAUCCCUGCAAUUUAUUAUUUUUUGUUUAAAAGGACAUAUAAGCUUUCGGGCCUAGUAACUUCUAUGGGUCUUUAUUUUUCUUACAAAGCCUCCUGUGCAUGUACAAAAAUAUUAAAACUUUUAUGCCUUUUCCAGUAAAUCUGUCUUAUGUUAGUGUAAUUCCCAUGCCCAGCUACAGAACCAAAGAGGUGAGAAGAGGCCAGGCGUAGUGGCUCAUGCCUGUAAUCCCAACACUUUGGGAGGCUGAGGCAGGUGGAUCACCUGAGGUCAGGAGUUCAAGACCAGCCUGGCCAACAUAGCGAAACCCCAUCUCUACUAAAAUUACAAAAAAUUAGCUGUGUGUAGUGGCAGGCACCUGUAAUCCCAGCUACUCGGGAGGCUGAGGCGGGAGAAUUGCUUGAACCUGGGAGGCAGAGGUUGCAGCCUGGGCGACAGAGCGAGAGACUCCAUCAAAAAAAAAAAAAAAAAAGGUGAGGAGGAAGUUUCUCCUCACCUACAGUGUGAGGAAAUCUAGGCACUUGAUUUCCAUGCUCCUGAAUGUCUCUCCAUUUGGGAACAUAUACCUCUCCUUGCAACUCAUCUGCAAGUGACUCCCUCUCAUUCACUGAAAACUUUGGCCCAUAACUCACCAGCUUCCUCUCCACUACAAGACACUGCCAUGGAUCAGGUCAAUAUCCACAUGUACAGUUGUCCCUCAGUAUCCAUGGAGGAUUGAUUCCAGGACUCCCGAUGAUACCAAAAUCCACAAUCCAUAAAUGCUCAAGUCCCUUAUAUAAAAUGGCAUAGAAUUUGCAUAUAACCUAUGCGCACCCUCCUGUGUGCUUUAAAUCAUCUCUAG
RNAcentral lists this long non-coding RNA (2038 nucleotides) under Homo sapiens (human). RNAcentral's name for it is "HSALNT0125568". Lineage: Eukaryota; Metazoa; Chordata; Mammalia; Primates; Hominidae. The record is from RNAcentral.